UGGUUCCGCUGCUGUGGGCCCCGGCUGCGGUCCGGGCCGGCCCAGAUGAAGACCUUAGCCACCGGAACAAAGAACCGCCGGCGCCGGCCCAGCAGCUGCAGCCGCAGCCUGUGGCUGUGCAGGGCCCCGAGCCGGCCCGGGUCGAGUCGUGGGCUUUGUCGUCAUUUCCAGUAUCUGCUCCCUGAAUCCCGGCCAGUGUGGCACUUAAACCCCCACUCCCACCCAGGCCACAUCCAGCCCAUCUCCACGUAACUAAUCUUCCCGAACAUUGAAUUCUGCCAUCUUGUCAGAAGUCGUCGGUGAGUUGCCUCCACUAAUUUCAGUCCAGCCUUUUUAGGAGAGUGAUGUUCAGGUUUCUCCUGAUCUGGCUCCAGCUCACCUCCAGGCUUUUUAGCCACCGCUUUCUUGCUCAUAUGCUAAAGGGAUAUGCUCA
Molecule: small RNA, 433 nt
Filed under: Pan troglodytes (chimpanzee)
Lineage: Eukaryota; Metazoa; Chordata; Mammalia; Primates; Hominidae
Description: processed transcript
Source: RNAcentral